RNAcentral lists this ribosomal RNA (301 nucleotides) under uncultured bacterium. RNAcentral's name for it is "partial 16S ribosomal RNA". It matches the Rfam family "Bacterial small subunit ribosomal RNA", at positions 509 to 808 of the family's 1533-position model. The record is from RNAcentral.
CAGCAGCCACGGUAAUACGUAGGGGGCAAGCGUUAUCCGGAAUAACUGGGCGUAAAGGGUGCGCAGGUGGUUUAACAAGUUAGUGGUGAAAGGCAUAGGCUCAACCAAUGUAAGCCAUUAAAACUGUUUAACUUGAGUGCAGGAGAGGAAAGUGGAGUUCCUAGUGUAGCGGUGAAAUGCGUAGAUAUUAGGAGGAAUACCAGUGGCGAAGGCGACUUUCUGGACUGCAACUGACACUGAGGCACGAAAGCGUGGGGAGCAAACAGGAUUAGAUACCCCCGUAGUCCCUGUCUCUUAUACA